This 1903-nucleotide ribosomal RNA is filed under the name Mediterraneibacter gnavus. RNAcentral describes it as "partial 23S ribosomal RNA". It matches the Rfam family "Bacterial large subunit ribosomal RNA", at positions 1 to 1935 of the family's 2925-position model. Lineage: Bacteria; Bacillati; Bacillota; Clostridia; Lachnospirales; Lachnospiraceae. The record is from RNAcentral.
UUGGUUAUGCUAAUAAGAGCGUAUGGUGGAUGCCUUGGCACUAAGAGCCGAUGAAAGACGUGAUAAGCUGCGAAAAGCUUCGGGGAGGAGCAAAUAUCCUGAGAUCCGGAGAUAUCUGAAUGGGGAAACCUACUUGAGAAGACCUCAAGUAUCCACAGCCCAAUCCAUAAGCUGUGGAAGGGAACCCGGUGAACUGAAACAUCUAAGUAGCCGGAGGAAGAGAAAACAACAUGUGAUUCCGUAAGUAGCGGCGAGCGAACGCGGAAGAGCCCAAACCGGAGUGCGUGCACUCCGGGGUUCGGACUGCAGGAUUGACGAGUGAGCCUAGUAGAAUGGUUUUGGGAAAGCCAGCCAGAGAGGGUGAAAGCCCCGUACACGAAAGGCGAGCGAGCAUGGCAGGAUCCAGAGUACCACGAGACACGUGAAACCUUGUGGGAAUGAGCGGGGACCACCCCGUAAGGCUAAAUACUCCUUAGUGACCGAUAGCGCAUAGUACUGUGAAGGAAAGGUGAAAAGGACCCCGGGAGGGGAGUGAAAGAGAACCUGAAACCAUAUGUUUACAAGCUGUGGAACAUCUUUAUAUGAUGAACCGCGUACUUUUUGUAGAACGGUCCGGCGAGUUACGCUGGCUGGCGAGGUUAAGGGCUGAAGGCCUGGAGCCGAAGGGAAACCGAGUCUGAACAGGGCGAAAUAGUCAGUCGGAGUAGACCCGAAACCGGGUGAUCUAUCCAUGUCCAGGUUGAAGUUGCCGUAAAAGGCAAUGGAGGACCGAACCCACAUCCGUUGAAAAGGGUGGGGAUGAGGUGUGGAUAGGGGAGAAAUUCCAAUCGAACCCGGAGAUAGCUGGUUCUCCUCGAAAUAGCUUUAGGGCUAGCCUCAUGCAAGUCUUACGGAGGUAGAGCACUGAAUUCCUAAGGGGGCGUCAAAGCUUACCAAGGGAUAUCAAACUCCGAAUGCCGUGUAGAUGGUGCAUGGGAGUCAGACUAUCCGAGAUAAGUUGGGUAGUCAAAAGGGAAAGAGCCCAGACCUACAGCUAAGGUCCCAAAAUGUGUGUUAAGUGGAAAAGGAUGUGGGAUUUCGAAGACAACUAGGAUGUUGGCUUAGAAGCAGCCAUCCAUUAAAAGAGUGCGUAAUAGCUCACUAGUCGAGAGGUCCUGCGCCGAAAAUGUCCGGGGCUGAAACACACUACCGAAGCUUGGGAAUUGACGAAUGUUAAUUGGUAGAGGAGCAUUCUUAACGGGGCGAAGCUGUACCGGAAGGAGCAGUGGACUGUUAAGAAGAGAGAAUGCCGGAAUGAGUAGCGAGAGGAAGGUGAGAAUCCUUCCGGCCGAAUAUCUAAGGUUUCCAGAGUAAAGCUGAUCUGCUCUGGGUAAGUCGGGGCCUAAGGCGAGGUCGAAAGACGUAGUCGAUGGAUAACAGGUAAAGAUUCCUGUACUGUAUCAUAACAGAACUGUGGGGACGCAGACAGAGAGCAUAAGCCGGGAAUGGAAAGACCGGUACAAGCGAGGUAGGAGUGCAUCAGGCAAAUCCGGUGCACAAUCUGAAGACGUGAUGUGGGGCGUAAAGCCGGAAGUAUGUGAGCUGGCUGCCAAGAAAAGCCGCUAUUGUUUAUGAUAUACCCGUACCGUAAACCGACACAGGUGGAUGAGGAGAGAAUCCUAAGGCCGACGGGAGAAGCAUUGUUAAGGAACUCGGCAAAAUGACUCCGUAACUUCGGGAGAAGGAGUGCCAUGUAAAAGUGGCCGCAGAGAAUUGGCCCAAGCAACUGUUUAGCAAAAACACAGGUCUAUGCAAAACCGAAAGGUGAGGUAUAUGGGCUGACGCCUGCCCGGUGCUGGAAGGUUAAGGGGAGAGGUUAGCCGUAAGGCGAAGCUUUGAACUUAAGCCCCAGUAAACGGCGGCC